UUGCUCGAUGGGAGAAAUCCUGAAGCAGCAACGCCGCGUGGAGGAUGAAGGGUCUAUGACUUGUAAACUCCUGUAAAGAAGGAAAAAAUUCCCAUUAGAUGGGAGAUGAUGGUACUUCUGGAGUAAGCCCCGGCUAACUACGUGCCAGCAGCCGCGGCAAUACGUAGGGGGCACGCGUUGUCCGGAUUUACUGGGUGUAAAGGGUGCUCAGGCGGAUUUGUAAGUCAGAGGUGAAAUCUUACAGCUUAACUGUGAAACUGCCUUUGAUACUGCAAGCCUAGAGUAUGGAAGAGAGUGAUGGAAUAUCUGGUGUAGCAGUGAAAUGCGUAGAUAUCAGAUAGAACACCAAUGGCGAAGGCAGUCACUUGGUCCAUUACUGACGCUAAAGCACGAAAGCGUGGGUAGCAAACA
Molecule: ribosomal RNA, 411 nt
Filed under: uncultured bacterium
Lineage: Bacteria
Description: bacterial SSU rRNA
Rfam family: Bacterial small subunit ribosomal RNA
Source: RNAcentral